Molecule: ribosomal RNA, 253 nt
Filed under: uncultured bacterium
Lineage: Bacteria
Description: partial 16S ribosomal RNA
Rfam family: Bacterial small subunit ribosomal RNA
Source: RNAcentral
UACGUAGGGGGCAAGCGUUGUUCGGAAUUAUUGGGCGUAAAGCGCGUGUAGGCGGCUAGGUAAGUCUGCUGUGAAAGUCCAGGGCUCAACCCUGGAAUGCCGGUGGAUACUGUCGAGCUCGAGUCCGGAAGAGGCGAGUGGAAUUCCUGGUGUAGCGGUGAAAUGCGUAGAUAUCGGGAGGAACACCAGUGGCGAAGGCGGCUUUCUGGUCUGCUCUUGACGCUGAGGCGCGAAAGCUAGGGUAGCAAACGGG